AGCCAUCCUUUAAAGAAAGCGUAAUAGCUCACUCGUCGAGAAGCCCGGUGCCGACAAUCCAACGGGGCUCAAGCAUGUCACCGAAGUUAUGGAUGUUCAUCGCAAGAUGAACGUGGUAGGAGAGCGUUCUCACAGCAGUGAAGGUCGAUCGUAAGGACGACUGGAGUGGUGAGAAGAGACUCUGCCAGCAUAAGUAGCGAAAAACAAGGUGAGAACCCUUGUCGCCGUAAGUCUAAGGUUUCCUGAUAAAGGUUAAUCCGAUCAGGGUUAGUCGGAGCCUAAGGUGAGGCCGAGAGGCGUAGCUGAUGGACACACGGUUAAUAUUCCGUGACCUCCUAAGGAGAUAUCGAUGCGGGGACGCAGCGCGAAAGCCCUUCUGCGCAAUGGUUUCAAAGAAGGGGCAAGCGAGGACCGGAUAGGCAAAUCCGCCGGUUCGUCUGCCAGGAAAAGCCGCUAAGAGCCAAAGGAGUCCGUACCACAAACCGACACAGGUAGACGUGAUGAGUAUUCUCAGGCGCUCGGGUGAUUAGUUGUUAAGGAACUAGGCAAAUUAACCCCGUAACUUCGGGAGAAGGG
This 576-nucleotide ribosomal RNA is filed under the name Astrosyne radiata. RNAcentral describes it as "partial Bacterial large subunit ribosomal RNA". It matches the Rfam family "Bacterial large subunit ribosomal RNA", at positions 1114 to 1747 of the family's 2925-position model. The record is from RNAcentral. Lineage: Eukaryota; Bacillariophyta; Fragilariophyceae; Cyclophorales; Cyclophoraceae.